Larimichthys crocea (large yellow croaker) is the source of this 178-nucleotide long non-coding RNA. RefSeq lists it as uncharacterized. The record is from RefSeq and is a predicted model, not a curated record. Lineage: Eukaryota; Metazoa; Chordata; Actinopteri; Sciaenidae. The transcript is spliced from 3 exons.
GUUAAGAUGUCAGAUGUCUUCAGUUCGAGUUUCCAGGACUCAAACUCCCAUGAGUGUCCGCUGCUCUCCACCGCCAGACAAAACAGCAGAAGAUGAGUCAUGUUUCACGAUCACGUCCUGAGAGCAGCGUUGUGUUCACAGUGAUGACGCUCUGGGUUCAAACCCGCCAUCGGUGUGA